GAUGAACGCUGGCGGCGUGCCUAAUACAUGCAAGUCGAGCGAACAGACGAGGAGCUUGCUCCUCUGACGUUAGCGGCGGACGGGUGAGUAACACGUGGAUAACCUACCUAUAAGACUGGGAUAACUUCGGGAAACCGGAGCUAAUACCGGAUAAUAUAUUGAACCGCAUGGUUCAAUAGUGAAAGACGGUUUUGCUGUCACUUAUAGAUGGAUCCGCGCCGCAUUAGCUAGUUGGUAAGGUAACGGCUUACCAAGGCAACGAUGCGUAGCCGACCUGAGAGGUUGAUCGGCCACACUGGAACUGAGACACGGUCCAGACUCCUACGGGAGGCAGCAGUAGGGAAUCUUCCGCAAUGGGCGAAAGCCUGACGGAGCAACGCCGCGUGAGUGAUGAAGGUCUUCGGAUCGUAAAACUCUGUUAUUAGUGAAGAACAAAUGUGUAAGUAACUAUGCACGUCUUGACGGUACCUAAUCAGAAAGCCACGGCUAACUACGUG
RNAcentral lists this ribosomal RNA (497 nucleotides) under uncultured bacterium. Its description in RNAcentral is "partial 16S ribosomal RNA". It matches the Rfam family "Bacterial small subunit ribosomal RNA", at positions 28 to 507 of the family's 1533-position model. The record is from RNAcentral.